UUCAGAAUUUCAGCUAAAGCUCCAAGGCUGAAACAAAGGUCAAAGUGUAUGUAUGUAUCCCAGAAUAUGAAUAUCAACCUGAUGUUAUUUGAAAAGGGAUCCUGCCCAAGAAAGUUUUCUGCCAGGGAAAGAAGAUCCCAGCAGUAAGGAGUUGUGGGGUAUGACCAGGGGGAAGUUUUGUAACUGGUGGAUCAUACCCUUGGAAGAAUGCACGCUGCCCAAGAGAAGGAAAAUCAGCUUUAAACACCUGCCAUAUCCACCAAGCCCUAGGUCAUUUUGGUACAGUAGCAGUCAAGUAAGAACUGUCCUGUUAUGCCUGACCUCUUCUCCCCUCCCUGACCUUGGUCCGGGUGGGCUCAGAACUCAGUAAGAUGGCAGAAGAGAAACUUUUUGGUGAGAAGAGAAGGAUCCUGCUCCUUCCCUCACUGACAGUGGCUAGCUCUAGCAGACCCUAGCUGAAUGGAGAACAUAAGAUUUAAUGUUAACUGAACUUUGGAGUGUUGACUAUUAUUUGGAUGUAGUCUUUAAUUUUGAAAAAAUUCAAACCUACAGAAAUGUUGAAAUAGUAAUCUAAUAAACACUUCAUACCUUUUACCAGUUAAUAACAUUUGGCUACAAGUAUAUAUUAUAUAUACUGCAUGCUUUGUUUUGGCCAGUUGAAUGGGGCUGUACCAUGUGAAAAUGACACUUUACCCCUAAAUACUUCAGCUUUUUUAUCCUAAAGAUUAAAAUAAUCUCCUGCAUAAUGCCGUUAUCACACUCAAGACUUCACCACUGAUACAACAUUAUAUAAUAUAUAGUCCAUAUUCAGAUUUCCCCAAUUGUCUGUCUGAGACUAGUUAUUUUAAGUUACUGAACUGAGACUUACCAUUUCUGGUGAUCAUAUGAUUUUCUGUUACUUACCAGGGAAGUCAUGGGGAUUACUUGAAUUUUUUUCUCUAAGGCAGAGGUCGGUUUUCUGCUGAAUGUGUUUAAUAGACCAGUAAGAGACAAAAAUAAAGAUUUUUGCAUGAAACCCAUCAUUUCUGCAUGGUCAAAAGUUGGGUACACUUUUAAAAAGGGUGUCUCAAUUCACUGUGCUUUUGCAUUGUUCAAGAAUAGAUUUCCUAAAGAGGAAAGAAAAUUGAUGGAGUGAUGAUAAUUGUUGAAGCUAGGUGAUAUGGUUCAUUAAACUCUUCUCUCUACUGUUGUGUAUGUUUGAAAUUUUUCAUAAUAAAAAGUUAAAGGAU
Vicugna pacos (alpaca) is the source of this 1229-nucleotide non-coding RNA. The record is from RefSeq and is a predicted model, not a curated record. NCBI's taxonomy places the organism in Eukaryota, Metazoa, Chordata, Mammalia, Artiodactyla, Camelidae.